GAUAGUGAACCAGUACCGUGAGGGAAAGGCGAAAAGAACCCCGGCGAGGGGAGUGAAAAAGAACCUGAAACCGUGUACGUACAAGCAGUGGGAGCACAGGUUUACCUGUGUGACUGCGUACCUUUUGUAUAAUGGGUCAGCGACUUAUAUUCUGUAGCAAGGUUAACCGUAUAGGGGAGCCGUAGGGAAACCGAGUCUUAACCGGGCGUUAAGUUGCAGGGUAUAGACCCGAAACCCGGUGAUCUAGCCAUGGGCAGGUUGAAGGUUGGGUAACACUAACUGGAGGACCGAACCGACUAAUGUUGAAAAAUUAGCGGAUGACCUGUGGCUGGGGGUGAAAGGCCAAUCAAACCGGGAGAUAGCUGGUUCUCCCCGAAAGCUAUUUAGGUAGCGCCUCGUGAAUUCAUCUCCGGGGGUAGAGCACUGUUUCGGCUAGGGGGCCAUCCCGGCUUACCAACCCGAUGCAAACUGCGAAUACCGGAGAAUGUUAUCACGGGAGACACACGGCGGGUGCUAACGUCCGUCGUGAAGAGGGAAACAACCCAGACCGCCAGCUAAGGUCCCAAAGUCAUGGUUAAGUGGGAAACGAUGUGGGAAGGCCCAGACAGCCAGGAUGUUGGCUUAGAAGCAGCCAUCAUUUAAAGAAAGCGUAAUAGCUCACUGGUCGAGUCGGCCUGCGCGGAAGAUGUAACGGGGCUAAACCAU
Molecule: ribosomal RNA, 705 nt
Filed under: Salmonella enterica
Lineage: Bacteria; Pseudomonadati; Pseudomonadota; Gammaproteobacteria; Enterobacterales; Enterobacteriaceae
Also listed under: 1 other name
Description: partial 23S ribosomal RNA
Rfam family: Bacterial large subunit ribosomal RNA
Source: RNAcentral